CUUAAUUGCGAUAACGAACGAGACCUUGACCUGCUAAAUAGCCCGGCUGACUUUUGUCGGCCGCCGGCUUCUUAGAGGGACUUUUGGCUCAAGCCAAUGGAAGUACGAGGCAAUAACAGGUCUGUGAUGCCCUUAGAUGUUCUGGGCCGCACGCGCGCUACACUGACAGAGCCAGCGAGUACAUCACCUUGUCCGAAAGGUCCGGGUAAUCUUGUUAAACUCUGUCGUGCUGGGGAUAGGGCAUUGCAAUC
This 251-nucleotide ribosomal RNA is filed under the name uncultured fungus. RNAcentral's name for it is "partial small subunit ribosomal RNA". It matches the Rfam family "Eukaryotic small subunit ribosomal RNA", at positions 1318 to 1591 of the family's 1831-position model. The record is from RNAcentral. Lineage: Eukaryota; Fungi.